GAUGAACGCUGGCGGCGUGCCUAAUACAUGCAAGUCGAGCGAACAGACGAGGAGCUUGCUCCUCUGACGUUAGCGGAGGACGGGUGAGAAACACGUGGAUCACCUACCUAUCAGACUGGGAUAACUUCGGGAAACCGGCGCUAAUACCGGAUAAUAUAUUGAACCGCAUGGGUCAAUAGUGAAAGACGGUUUUGCGGUCACUUCUCGAUGGAUCCUCGCCGCAUUAGCUAGUUGGUAAGGUAACGGCUUACCAAGGCAACGAUGCGUAGCCGACCUGAGAGGCUGGUCGGCCACCCUGGAACGGAGACACGGACCAGACUCCUGCGGGAGGCAGCAGUAUGGAAUCUUCCGCAAUGGGCGAAAGCCUGGCGGAGCAACGCCGCGUGAGUGAUGACGGUCUUCGGAUCGUAAAGCUCUGUUAUUAGUGAAGAACAACUGUGUAAGUAACUAUGCACGUCUUGACGGUACCUGAUCAGAAAGCCCCGGCUAACUACGUG
Molecule: ribosomal RNA, 497 nt
Filed under: uncultured bacterium
Lineage: Bacteria
Description: partial 16S ribosomal RNA
Rfam family: Bacterial small subunit ribosomal RNA
Source: RNAcentral